UCAUUUGAGGGAUCACGGGGUCGAAACAGGAACGACGGACGUUCAAAGAUGUUAGCUUUUACUCGGCGGACUGCCACCGUAUCGGCGUAAAAUGUACAAUUGCAAAUGACAAUCGUGCUCCAGUGGCUCUCGCAGCGUAAGCUGUGCGAAAUACUGAAACCUAACUCCAUGCUAUUAGCGUAGUAUGGCGGGGUUCGGAGGUACCUGGCAACAGAAACCUCCACU
This 225-nucleotide transfer-messenger RNA is filed under the name Paracoccaceae bacterium. RNAcentral's name for it is "Rhodobacteraceae bacterium partial transfer-messenger RNA". It matches the Rfam family "Alphaproteobacteria transfer-messenger RNA", at positions 132 to 355 of the family's 355-position model. Rfam says of the family: Bacterial tmRNA, also known as 10Sa RNA or SsrA, is named for its dual tRNA and mRNA-like properties. The record is from RNAcentral. Lineage: Bacteria; Pseudomonadati; Pseudomonadota; Alphaproteobacteria; Rhodobacterales; Paracoccaceae.